GACGAACGCUGGCGGCGUGCUUAACACAUGCAAGUCGAACGGACAGACAGAGAGCUUGCUCUCUUGAAGUUAGUGGCGAACGGGUGAGUAACGCGUAAUCAAGCUGCCCUUCAGAGGGGGAUAACAACGGAAAACAGUUGCUAAUAACGCGUACGAUUAAUGAACGGCAACGGUUAUGAAUGAAAGGUGGCCUCUAUGUAUAAGCUAUCGCUGAAGGAAGGGACUUCGUCUGAUUAGCUAGUUGGAGGGGUAACGUCCCACCAAGGCAAUGAUCAGUAGCCGGUCUGAGAGGAUGAACGGCCACAGUGUGACUGAGACACGGCCCAAACUCCUACGGGAGGCAGCAGUAGGGAAUCUUCCGCAAUGGACGAAAGUCUGACGGAGCAACGUCGAGUGAGUGAUGAAGGUCUUCGGAUUGUAAAGCUCUGUUGAUCGGGACGAAAGAGUUCUGCGUGAAUAAUGCAGAAAAGUGACGGUACAGGAAUAGAAAGCCACGGCUAACUACGUGCCAGCCGCCGCCGUAA
RNAcentral lists this ribosomal RNA (524 nucleotides) under uncultured bacterium. Its description in RNAcentral is "partial 16S ribosomal RNA". It matches the Rfam family "Bacterial small subunit ribosomal RNA", at positions 28 to 523 of the family's 1533-position model. The record is from RNAcentral.